UCUUUUUUCUUUUUAAUAGUAGCUCAGUUUUAUUUUCUGUGGUAACAAACAUUUAAGAACCAGAGAAAACAAGGGACCCCUGAGCACACAAAGGCAGUACAGGCCGACCAUGAGGCCCUCCCGGGAAAGUAGCAACUGUGGGAAUUCCCUGCCCUAGGGAGGAUGGAUGCACUGCCUAGGAGGAGACGCAAGGUUAGACCUCGCCCCAUUUUCCCAGGCCAGGCUUAGCGGGAAACUGGGGGCCCAAAGUGCUGCAGGGUCCGCACCACCAGAGAAAGAUGGUCGAGAAAGUUGAUAAGGGAAAUUCGGAGCAGGCAACAGUCUUCAGCUUUCCAGCGGACGGCCAGGAUCCUGCCGCUCACUGUGAGAUCCUUCCCAACCACCCUUUGGUGGGGUUCGGCAUCUGGAGCCAGGGACCCAUGGGCAAUUUCCACCUCUAAGGGGGUCGGGAAAGGCACGCUGAGGGUGAAUAUGUGCGGCCGCAUUCCUGGCCCUUGGCCACAGACGCUGCGUUUCUGCUAGGACCUGACACGUGCGGUGGGGGAGCUCCGCUGGCCGGAGCUGCCGGGGUGUCCGCGCCCCCGGGGCAGCUGUGAUCACCCUAGCCAUCCCCGCAGUUGGCGCCUCCGCCUGCGUCUGCAUCCACGUCCCACAUAACCGCCCUGGCUCCGACUCCUUUUCUUUGUAAAAUUGCCAGUUUUUUUAUUUUAUUUUACGUAAGAAUGCUUCUUAAAAGUGUUAACUUUUUUGUUAGUUUCGUUUUUAGACAGGGUAUUGCUCUGUCGUCCAGGCUGAGGUUCAGUGGUGCAAUCACCACUCACUGCAGCCUUGACCUCCCAGGUCCAUCCUCCUGCCUCAGCCUCCCAAGUAGCUGGGAGUACAGGCCCACACCACCACACUAACUCUAAUUUUUGUAGAAACGAGGUCUUAUUAUGUUGCUCAGGCUGGUCUCAAACUCCGGGACUCAAGGGAUCCGCCUGCCUUGGCCUCCCAAAGUGCUGGGAUUACAGGCUUGAGCCACCAUGCACCCCCUACUCUUCCUUUAUUAGCAUUUAACACUCAACUGUUUGUUUCUGGUUCCCUAUGUUGUGAGCUCCUUGAAGGCAGGGACCACGACUUAUGUGAUUUUUUUUUUUUUCUGAGACUCGACAGAGUCUUGCUCUGUCAACCAGGCUGGAGUAUAGCGGCACCAUCUAGCUCAAUUGCCACUUUCCCAAAGAAAUUCUCUCUGAUCUAUCAGGUUAAUAUAGGAGGCUCUCCCCUACUGACUUCUACCUCAUGGUUUCUCUGGCAGUCUGUUGACUUGUUUGGCUUCUCACUAAAGUCUAACUGGGGCUUUUCAACUCUGCAUCUCCAGUUCUGU
Molecule: long non-coding RNA, 1363 nt
Filed under: Homo sapiens (human)
Lineage: Eukaryota; Metazoa; Chordata; Mammalia; Primates; Hominidae
Description: non-protein coding lnc-DNAJA1-2:1
Source: RNAcentral